CAGCCGCCGCGGGAAUACGGAGGGAGCUAGCGUUGUUCGGAAUUACUGGGCGUAAAGCGCACGUAGGCGGUUAUUCAAGUCAGAGGUGAAAGCCCGGGGCUCAACCCCGGAACUGCCUUUGAAACUAGAUGACUGGAAUCUUGGAGAGGUCAGUGGAAUUCCGAGUGUAGAGGUGAAAUUCGUAGAUAUUCGGAAGAACACCAGUGGCGAAGGCGACUGACUGGACAAGUAUUGACGCUGAGGUGCGAAAGCGUGGGGAGCAAACAGGAUUAGAUACCCCGGUAGUCCCUGUCUCUUAUAC
Molecule: ribosomal RNA, 301 nt
Filed under: uncultured bacterium
Lineage: Bacteria
Description: partial 16S ribosomal RNA
Rfam family: Bacterial small subunit ribosomal RNA
Source: RNAcentral